RNAcentral lists this ribosomal RNA (253 nucleotides) under uncultured bacterium. RNAcentral's name for it is "partial 16S ribosomal RNA". It matches the Rfam family "Bacterial small subunit ribosomal RNA", at positions 524 to 776 of the family's 1533-position model. The record is from RNAcentral.
UACGAAGGGGGCUAGCGUUGUUCGGAAUUACUGGGCGUAAAGCGCACGUAGGCGGGUCGUUAAGUCAGAGGUGAAAUCCCGGAGCUCAACUCCGGAACUGCCUUUGAUACUGGCGAUCUAGAGGUCGAGAGAGGUGAGUGGAAUUCCGAGUGUAGAGGUGAAAUUCGUAGAUAUUCGGAAGAACACCAGUGGCGAAGGCGGCUAACUGGUCCGGUACUGACGCUGAGGUGCGAAAGCGUGGGGAGCAAACAGG